This 465-nucleotide ribosomal RNA is filed under the name uncultured Klebsiella sp. Its description in RNAcentral is "bacterial SSU rRNA". It matches the Rfam family "Bacterial small subunit ribosomal RNA", at positions 338 to 795 of the family's 1533-position model. The record is from RNAcentral. Lineage: Bacteria; Pseudomonadati; Pseudomonadota; Gammaproteobacteria; Enterobacterales; Enterobacteriaceae.
CCUACGGGGGGCAGCAGUGGGGAAUAUUGCACAAUGGGCGCAAGCCUGAUGCAGCCAUGCCGCGUGUGUGAAGGAGGCCUUCGGGUUGUAAAGCACUUUCAGCGGGGAGGAAGGCGUUAAGGUUAAUAACCUUGGCGAUUGACGUUACCCGCAGAAGAAGCACCGGCUAACUCCGUGCCAGCAGCCGCGGUAAUACGGAGGGUGCAAGCGUUAAUCGGAAUUACUGGGCGUAAAGCGCACGCAGGCGGUCUGUCAAGUCGGAUGUGAAAUCCCCGGGCUCAACCUGGGAACUGCAUUCGAAACUGGCAGGCUAGAGUCUUGUAGAGGGGGGUAGAAUUCCAGGUGUAGCGGUGAAAUGCGUAGAGAUCUGGAGGAAUACCGGUGGCGAAGGCGGCCCCCUGGACAAAGACUGACGCUCAGGUGCGAAAGCGUGGGGAGCAAACAGGAUUAGAUACCCUUGUAGUC